RNAcentral lists this ribosomal RNA (377 nucleotides) under uncultured bacterium. RNAcentral describes it as "bacterial SSU rRNA". It matches the Rfam family "Bacterial small subunit ribosomal RNA", at positions 521 to 896 of the family's 1533-position model. The record is from RNAcentral.
UAAUACGUAGGGUGCGAGCGUUAAUCGGAAUUACUGGGCGUAAAGCGUGCGCAGGCGGCUUCGAAAGCUAGGUGUGAAAGCCCCGGGCUCAACCUGGGAACUGCAUUUAGGACUGCGAAGCUCGAGUGCGGCAGAGGGAGGUGGAAUUCCACGUGUAGCAGUGAAAUGCGUAGAGAUGUGGAGGAACACCGAUGGCGAAGGCAGCCUCCUGGGCCGACACUGACGCUCAUGCACGAAAGCGUGGGGAGCAAACAGGAUUAGAUACCCUGGUAGUCCACGCCCUAAACGAUGUCGACUGGUUGUUGGGGAAGGCAACUUCCUUAGUAACGAAGCUAACGCGUGAAGUCGACCGCCUGGGGAGUACGGCCGCAAGGUUA